AAGGUGGUCGUACUGGAAAGUGUGGCUAGAUCAUAUCCUUUCUAAGAGGAAGAUAAAUCAAAACCAAUUUUAUUUACUUUUCUCUAUAUUUUUAUUUUGAUGAAAAAGCUUUUGAAUUCAAAGUAAAUUUUUAGUUUAACCUUUAGAAAAAAUAAAUCUUUAGAAAGUGUAUAGUAUUAUACAGUUUCAUAUUAAAUUAAACGUUGUUAAUAGUAAACAUAAUUUUAGAUUUUGAGUUGAAAGUUUUUUAUAUUGCUAAAUAUGUAUUUUAAAUCUAAUAGAACGGCAAUUGCAAUUUUUAAAAUUGAAAUUGCAUUGUAAAUAUACUCUAACAUCGAGAUUGACAAAUGUUUUUUUUUAUUGUUCAUCAUAGUU
This 375-nucleotide unclassified non-coding RNA is filed under the name Borreliella afzelii. RNAcentral describes it as "partial 16S-23S ribosomal RNA intergenic spacer". Lineage: Bacteria; Pseudomonadati; Spirochaetota; Spirochaetia; Spirochaetales; Borreliaceae. The record is from RNAcentral.